This 1004-nucleotide long non-coding RNA is filed under the name Lonchura striata (white-rumped munia). RNAcentral describes it as "domestica (Bengalese finch) lncRNA (ENSLSDG00000008131.1)". Lineage: Eukaryota; Metazoa; Chordata; Aves; Passeriformes; Estrildidae. The record is from RNAcentral.
CCAGGCUUGAGUCAGCCUGGCCCCACUUCUUGAACUUCUGAUGGAAUAGACUAGAAAUGCCAGUUCUGCACUAUGAAUGAAAAUUGUCGUCUUUUAAUUUUGUUUCUGAUUUGACCAGCACAAGAUACCUUAGCACUCUGAGUGACCAUGUGACAGACUUUCUCCUUCACAGGAUGAGUGGUCCUCACCCAUCACCAGACACAUUCCAGAUAACAACAAUGAUAGCAUCUUGUUUCAGGAAAUGUAGCUUUGAUGGACAAAUGAGGUUCCUUCCUUAAUUAGCUGGAAUCUUUGGAGAGCGUGGAGAUAUUAAUGGCAGAUGUUCUCAAACUGACAGAUAGCUCAGAGGGAGAAAGGAGAAGCAAAACACGAGAACCUCUGUGGUCAGUGUUAGUCAUCAGCCUAUGACAUGUUUUGAUACAACACAGCAAAAACUGAAGCCAUCAGGGAUGUUUUAUGACAUUUUGCUUCUGAAACAGAAUUUCUUCUCUCAAUACAUACAUCAUUUGAGACAUUCUUCAAAGUUUGCCCUUUUCCAAGGUGUCUGCAUGGAUGAUGGAUGCACGGACUGGCUGCACAUUCGUGGUGAUCUGUGGUAAUUGAUAAAAUGCACACACACAUAUAAGCUUCAAGAUUAAAUAUGUUAAGUAGAAUUCAUGAUUCAUUUGUUGAAUGGCUAUAACUUGUUUUGGUAACAUUUCAGAUAAGCCUGCUUUUCAGCAGUGUGUCACUUAACUCAGAAAUUACAUUUAUAUAAAUGGAUUAUGGCUAAAAAAUUGAGCAUUCCUGAAAUCAGAAAUCUGAAUGAAAUACAACUAUCAGCACUUCAGCAACAUCUGACCUUUUCAAAAGGCAGCUAACUGCUGGUACAUAACUGCCAAACCCCAGAAAAUUUCAUACUAAAAUAUGUAAAGCAGACUAAAGCUGCCAUUAACAAAUCACAGAAACAAGUCAGGCAGCUCUUAGAGUUACUUCUGUAAUGAAUAUACUGGGGACGACACAGA